Molecule: ribosomal RNA, 405 nt
Filed under: uncultured bacterium
Lineage: Bacteria
Description: partial 16S ribosomal RNA
Rfam family: Bacterial small subunit ribosomal RNA
Source: RNAcentral
GACGAACGCUGGCGGCGUGCUUAACACAUGCAAGUCGAGCGGAGCGGCGAACGGGUGAGUAACGCGUGAGUAACUGCCCCCCUCUCUGGGAUAACAGUUGGAAACGGCUGCUAAUACCGGACAGUGGGGGAUGACUCGCGUCCUCUCAGCUUGUUGGUGGGGUAGUGGCCUACCAAGGCGACGACGAGUAGCCGGCCUGAGAGGGCGACCGGCCAGAUUAGGCGUAGAUACGUCCGAAACUAAUACGGGAGGCAGCAGUGGGGAAUAUUGCACAAUGGGGGAAACCCUGAUGCAGCAAGGCCGCGUGCGGGAUGACUGCCUUCGUGUUGUAAACCGCUUUCAGCCAUGACGCGGUAGUGGCAGAAGAAGCACCGGCUAACUACGUGCCAGCAGCCGCGGUAAUUC